AUAAAAUACAAUGAUUUUAACUAAAAAGAAAAAUUAAAACCUUACCAAAAAAAAAAAAAAAAAUUAAAAAAUGCUUCACGAGAUGUCUUUCCGUCAAGCAUCUUCGGUGGUCUCGUGGCGUCGGAUCUGGUGGUGGCUGGAGGGUGAGGGUUCGUCGGGCAUCAGAUCUAGGAGCUCUCAUUGUUGCCCGUUGAAAACAUUGCAGCAAUCGGAAUUUGGAUCAGACUCCAUGGCUGAUGUGACGGCGUCGUUGCGUUGAACUCCAGGGCUGAUGUCACGGCGCUGAUGCGUUGAACAUCGUCAAUGGUGGUGGUGGUGGUGAACGACGGCUUCAAGACGCGGUGGCGGAGGCUUGAUAUGCGAGAUCUGAAAAAAAAAAAAGAACAAAGAAAGGAUUAGUAUUCAUGGGAAAUAGAGAAGAAGAAAAAGAAAGAGAAAUUUACCAAGAAAAACAAAAAGGAAACAGGAGAAGAGAAGUAGAGAUCGUAAAAAAAGAGAGAAGAAGAAGAGAGUAAUUGCUUUUGUUGGGAAUGAGAAACAAAAUAAAAGGAAGAUUUAUGUCCGUUAGAUUUAAUGCUAUCAACGGUGGAUGAUCAACAAAACUGUGAUCCUCGUCAAUGUGACGUAACCAAUGAGAAUCAAGUCUCUUUUAUUGCAUUUUGUCUAUAUUUUUAUAACUUUUGUUUGUAUGUGUUUUUAUUAAAUACAUUUGUUUUUAUUUGUUCAAUAUAUUUAUUAAUUAUGGUUUCCAGUUUAGAAUUUAUAAAAUGAUGAUUAUAUUUUAAAACUUUAUUUUUAUUUGAUUUUAGUUUAUUAUACUGAUUAUGUUUUGGUUUAGGGUUAAAAAAUUGAUUAGAUUUCAAAUAUUUUGCUAUUUUCUUCUUAACAAACAACUGAUUUUUUUGUAAAUGGUUCUAAAUAUUGGUUUUAUGUAAAUGUAAUGGUUAUAUUUUGGUUUGAUGGUUUAUGGUUUAAUUUCUAUAAUGAAAAUUUUAAUUAAAGUUUAGAUUUUAGGAUUUGGAGUUAAAUUGAGGGUUUGGGGUAUAGAUUUGAAAUGUUUGAUUUAAAAAUUAAGAAUUUUAUAAAAGUGUUGGAUCUUAAUUUUAAUUAGGGUAUACAUUGGUAAUUAGAUUUUUGUUUAGAGUUUAUAAAUUUAGAGUUUGUCUUUAAGAUUUAGGUUUUCGUCUAGCCACAGAUUUUAUCUGUAGCAAAUUCGUUGCUAUAUAAUAAAAUAAAUUCGAAAAUAAAAUAAUCACGAAAAUUUUAUGGCUUUUUCGUAGCAAAUAGCCACGAAUUUGCUACAGAUAAAAUCCGUGGCAAAAAUUAGCCACGAAAAACCACCAGAAACCACGAAAAUUGUCACGUUAUUUUUUAGUGACUAAUUCGUGGCUGGUAUGAAAUUAGCCACGAAUGUCCAUGGCUAAACCGUGGUUAUACGAAAAAUUUCUACUAGUUAUACAUAAUUGGCCUUUGCAUGCUUGUCCGAUCCAUACCACACGUUAUUAUCCCAAAAUUGCUUAUCUACCAUGUAGGAAUAUAAGUCCACUUAGCUUAGCCAGGUAUCAAUUAGUCUACUCAAUCCGGUAAUAAUUUGAUCAGUUCACCUAGUGAGUUGAGCUUCCGAUCAGUUCAGUUCAACUCAAGUAUUAAAAUCCAAUUCACUUGUCUAAGUCUUCUAAUCAAUUCUUAGAUCAUGAUAACUAAUUAACUCAGUCAAUCAAUCGUCCACUUAUCAUAACUUAUUUCAUCGAUCAUUAUUUUGAUUCUAACAUAGUCUUUGAUCUGGAUCUCGUGAUCAUUCUCUUGAUGUUUCCUGUGAGCGUGUCUUGUUCUACUAUCAUUCACUUGAUCUAAAAAAUGCCAUUUGAUAUUUCCUUUGAAUUACAAGUGGAGAUAUAUUUCGCCCUUAAGUUAUUCCUUGGUCAUUUCUUGAUUAGGAUUCAGUUUUCCUUGAACCAAACUAACCAAGACAUUUUUAUCGUGGAACAUAUCCACCCCUCUUCAAUCACCUUAUCCAAUUACUUUAAAGAUUACAAUGGGACAUCCUAACAAUCCUUAAAGGUUUAGCGUACCUCCUCACCCAUUACUGAGCUUCGAACAAACAAAAGUUGAUACUUUGUUACAUUUUCAAAUAUUUUGUCACGAACAUUGCUAUAGAUCUCCGUACCAAGUUGUAGUAUUUAUAUGUCUUUCAGUCAUUGGAUGGGUUCAAAAUAGUAGGUGUUAUUUUAGAGAAAGAAUAGU
This 2244-nucleotide long non-coding RNA is filed under the name Arabidopsis lyrata. RNAcentral describes it as "long non-coding RNA (ALYR_LNC001941)". Lineage: Eukaryota; Viridiplantae; Streptophyta; Magnoliopsida; Brassicales; Brassicaceae. The record is from RNAcentral.